ACGAAAUUCAGCAAAACAAGAACCCUAAUAACACUAUCAAUCUUCACAUUUCUUGAUAACAAUAUACAUAAUUUAGCAAAACAAGAACACUAAUAACACUAUCAAUCCUCUCAUUUCUUGAUAACAAUAUACGAAAUUCAGCAAAACAAGAACCCUAAUAACACUAUCAAUCUUCUCAUUUCUUAAUAACAAUAUACAAAAUUCAGCAAAACAAGAAUAUUAAUAACAUUAUCAAUCUUCUCAUUUCUUGAUAACAAUAUACAAAAUUUAGCGAAACAAGAACACUAAUAACAUUAUCAAUCUUCUCAUUUCUUGGUAACAAUAUACAAAAUUUAGCAAAACAAGAACACUAAUAACACUGUCAAUCUUCACAUUUCCUGAUAACAAUAUACAACAUUUAGCAAAACAAGAACACUAAUAACACUAUCGAUCUUCUCAUUUCUUGAUAACAAUAUACAAAAUUUAGCAAAGCAAGAACACUAAUAACACUAUCAAUCUUCUCAUUUCUUGAUAACAAAAUAGAAAAUUUAGCAAAACAAGAACACUANUAAUAACACUAUCAAUCCUCUCAUUUCUUGAUAACAAUAUACAAAAUUUAGCAAAACAAGAACAUUAAUAACAUUAUCAAUCUUCUCAUUUCUUGAUAACAAUAUACAAAAGUUAGCGAAACAAGGAGACUAAUAACACUAUCAAUCAUCUCAUUUCUUAAUAAUAAUAUACAAAAUUUAGCAAAACAAGACCCCUAAUAACACUAUCAAUCUUCUCAUUUCUUGAUAACAAUAUACAAAAUUAAGCAAAACAAGAACACUAAUUACACUAUCAAUCUUAUCAUUUCUUGAUAACAACACACAAAAUUUAGCAAAACAAGAACACUAAUAACACUAUCAAUCUUCAUAUUUCUUGAUAACAAUAUACAAAAUUUAGCAAACCAAGAACACUAAUAACACUAUCAAUCCUCUCAUUUCUUGAUAACAAUAUACAAUAUUCAGCAAAACAAGAACCCUAAUAACACUAUCAAUCUUCUCAUUUCUUGAUAACAAUUUACAAAAUUCAGCAAAACAAGAACACUAAUAACACUAUCAAUCCUCUCAUUUCUUGAUAACAAUAUACAAAAUUUAGCAAAACAAGAACAUUAAUAACAUUAUCAAUCUUCUCAUUUCUUGAUAACACUUCUCUCUAGUAACAAUUACAAAUUUAGCAAAGAACACUUAAUAACUUAUCAAUCUUACUUCUGAUAACAUCACUAUUUAGCAAAACACACUUACAAUCAAUCUUCUAAUUUCUGAUACACAUACAAAAUUAGCCCAAAACAAAGACAUAUACACUAUCAUCUUCAUUUUUGGUACAAUAUACGUAUUAGCACAGAAAUAAUACCAUCUCCAUCCUUCUUUUUAGAUACAAUAAUACAAAAUUAACAAAGAACACUAUAACCUUCAUCCUGAUUCUAUAACAUAUACAAUAGAAACAAAAGUACGACUAAUUAACACUAUCAUUUCUCAUUUCUUGAAACAAUUACAAAUUUAGCCAACAAAGAACACUAAUAAACCUAUCAUCUUCAUUCUGAUACAAUAUACAAUUUAGGGAAACAAAGACGCUAGUCAUUGCUUACUCAUCUGAUACAAUAUACAAAUUGCAAAACAAACACUAAUAACUAUCAUCUUACAUUUCAUUGAUAACAUAUACUCAAAUCAGCAAACAAAGACACUACACACUAUCAAUCUUCUCAUUCAUUCGAACAUAUACCAAAUUCAGCAAACAGACAACUAAUAACACUAUCAUUCCUCAUAUUGAACAAGAACAAAUAGCAAACAAAAAGAAGAUUAAACAUUAUCCAUUUUCUCUUCUGAUACAAUACAAAAUUUAGACCAAAACAAGAACACUAUACCUAUUCAUCUUCUCAUUUUAAUCAAAAAAUAGAAUUAGCAAAACACACUAAACCUAUCAAUCAUCUCAUUUUGAUAACAAAUACAAAAUUGCAACAAACACAUAACCUACUCAUCUAUUCAUUUUGGAUCACAAUAUACAAAUUAGCAAACCAGGGGAGCACUAAUAAUUAUCAAUCCUCUAUUCUGUAAACAACUAUUUAGCAAACGCUAGACUAUCAUCUUUCAUUUCUAUAACUAUAAUUUAGCAAAACAAGAACCUAUCCCACUGUCAAUCCUCUCAUUUUUGUACAAAUAUCAAAAUUCGCAACCAGAACACUAAUACCAUCAUCUUCAUUUCUUGACACAACAAUUUAGCAACAGAACUAAUAAUAACGAUUAUCAAUUAUCUAUUCUGAUAACAAUACAAAUUAAGCGAACAAGAAAUAUACACUAUAAUUUCUCAUUCUUAUAACAUUACAAUUAGACAGACCUAAUAACACUACAUCUUUCAUUUCUUGUAACAUUACAAAUUUGCAAACAACACUAUAACAUCAAGUUCUCUUCUGAUGACAAUAUACAAAGUUUGCAAAGCGGGAGGAACUCCAACUGUGGCAGGUGUUCAUUUUUGGGGAGGUACAAAUAGUAGACAUUUGAGGCAACUGGAUAAUCAGGUAUCAUCUUUUCUGUAACAUAUACAAAUUUUAGCACAAGACGGGGACUUAACAUUCGCUUCAUUGUGGCGGGAACAAUAGGUAGGUUAGCAAACAUCGCUAAUGCACUAUCAAUUCCGUGGGUGUCUUGAUAAAUGGGUCAAUUAGCACGAAACACUAUCAUAUCAGAUCUUCAAUUGGUGAACAUGUAAUAAGGGUAGCAAACGAAGACUACACUUCAUCCUCUUUUUCUUGGAUCUGGCGUGGAUUGACAAGGUGUGAAGACAAAUACACUAUCAGGUUUCGUGGGGUUCUUGUAAAUUACAAAAUUGGUUGCGAACGAGGAACAUAACACUAUCAAUUUUCAUUUUGAUACUGAUAAAUUUAAGCCAGACAUAUCACUAUCUUCUAUUUGUCAAUAAAUUUAGAACGCUCAUUUUCAUUUCUUAGAUACAUUACAAUUAGCAAACAGAAAUUAAUCUUCAAUUCUUGUACAAUAUCAAAUCAGCAGACAAAUACCUUUUUUCUCUUCUUAUAUCAAAUUCGCACAAGACACUAUACCUAGCAUCCUAUUUCUUGUAAAAAUAUACAAAUUUAGCAAACAAGAACAUUAAUACAUUAUCAUCUUCAUUUCUUGAACAUAUACAAUUUAGUACAAACAGAACCAUAACCUAUCAAUCUUCUCAUUCUUAAUAACAUGAUUUGCUUUAACUAGACCUAAACUCAUCAUCUGCUUUGAUAAAGACAAAUUAGCAAACAGGACCUAUACUAGAUUUCUCAUUCUGUAAAUAUACAAUUUAGCAACGAAGAACCUAAAUAACAUUAUCUCUCUAUUUAUUUAACUAUACAUAUUAGCAAACAGCACUUCUCUUCUGAUUUUUAACAUUACAAAUGUGCAAACAAGACACUAAUACUUCAUCUUAUUUUUAGUAAGAUACAAUUCGCACAAGAACAUGGAAUCAUCAUCAUCUUCAUUUCUUGACUUACAAUUAGCCAAACAGGAAAUUAAUAACUUAUCAAUCUUCUCAUUUCUUGUAACAAUAUACAAAUUUAGCCGAACAGCAUAUAACGCUAUUCACUUUAUUUUUAACAUACAAAUUAGACAAGAACCUAAUAACACUUCAUUAUUCAUUGUCUUUAACAAUAUAAAAUUAGCAACAGAACACUAAACAUAUCAUCCUCUUUUGCUUGAACAAUAAUCAUAAUUUGCACAGAACAUACUUUCUCUUUCUUAUACUUCAAAUUAGCAAACAAACCUUACCUUCAUCCUUAUUUUGAUAACAAUAUACAAUUCGCAACAAACCUAACCUAUCAUCCUAUCAUUUAUUGCACAUAUACAUUUAGCAAACAGCUUAAUACUUAUCAAUCUUCUCAUUGCACAUAUACAAAUUAGCCGACAGAAUUAACCUAUCAUUUCAUUUCUUUACACAUCUACAGAUUUUAAGCACAAGACCUAAUACCAUAUCUCUUUUUCUUGUAACAUAUACAUCAACAGACCAUAAAUCAUUCUAUUUCUGAUCAUAUACUUGCAGGAAACAUAACACUGUCAUUUCUCUUUCUUAUAACAAAUGAAAUGGUUAGCACAAGAAUAAUAAGAUCAAUCUUCUAUUCUGUAAAAUCAAUUUAGCAAACAGCACUUAAUAUCAUCCUCUCUUCUUGUACAUCAUAAUUUAGCCACUACUAUAACAUACAUUUUCAUUUCUUGUACACUCAUUAGCAAACAGAACUAUCACUUCCAUUAUUUCUUGAACAUUUAAUGCAAACGAAGAUUAACCUCUCUCCUCUUUUCUGUAACAAUAUACAAAUUUACAAGAAACAUAAUAACUUCAAAUCUUCUGAUUUCUUGAUAAUAUACAAAUUUAGACAAAACAGACAUAUCGACUAUAUCUUAUUUCUUGAAACAUUAUACAAUUAGGCAACAGCCUAUACCUAUCAUCUUCUAUUUUUGUAAUUAAUUAGGAAAAAACAUAUCAUCUUUCAUUCUUGUACAAUAUAAAAUUAGCAAACAAAGCACAAUAAACCUCUAUUCAAUUCUUGUAACAUUACAAAUUCAGCAAACGAACAUAAUACAUAUCAUUGGCUCUUCUUGAUAACAAUAUACGAAUUCAGCAAACAGAACACUAAUAACAUUCAUCGUCCUCUCUUUCUUUGUAACAUUACAAUUAGCAAACAGACAUUAACAUUAUCAUUCUCAUUUACUGUAACAAUAUACAUUUGCAAACAGACCUAUCAUAUCUCUUCUCAUUUUUAAAUACAAAAUAGAAAAUUAGCAACAAGAUAAUAACACUAUCAAUAUCUCAUUUCUGUACAAGUACAAAAUUUAGCAACAAGACAUAUACACUAUCAAAUCUUCUUUUUCUGAUAACAUAUACGACUUAGCAACAAGAACACUAUUAUCACCUCUAUUCUGAUACUUACUUUGCAAAACAGAACCUCAAUUCUUUCUUUAUAACUGAAAAUAUUGCAAACAAAGAACAUAUACAUUCAUCUCUAUUCUGUACAUAUACAAAUUAGCAAACAGACACUAACACUUCAAUCUUCUUUUGAACAAUUCAAAAUUUGCAAAACAGCUUCUAAUUAUCAAAAUUUUCUUCUGAUAACAAUAUACAAAAUUCUAGGACGCAUAUCCUUCAUUUUCUUUACAUAUACAAAAUUUAGCAACAGAACUUACCUAUCUUUUAUUUCUUGUAAAGAAAAAUUAGCACAAACUAAUAACGCAAUCCAUUUUCUCAUUUCUGAAACAAUUACAAAUUUAGCCAAAGCAGAACUAUACUUCAAUCUUCUCUUUCUUAAUAAGCAAAUAGAAAUUGACAAGAACACUAUACUACAUCUUCCUUUCUUGAUACAUAUCAAAUUUAGUCGCAAACAAGCUAAUACUUAUCAAUCCUUCUUUCUUGAUCAAUCUAUAAAAUGUUUUUUAGGGGCAAAAACUACACUAUAACACUAUCCUUUCAUUCUUGAUAACAACAUACAAAUUUGAACAGAAACCUUAACCAUCUUCUUCAUUUCGAUCUUAAUAAUUUUCAACAAAACAAUAAUACACUUCAAUCCUCUCAUUUCUGAUAACAUAUACAAAUAACAAAGCAAGACACUAAUACACUUCAAUCUUCUGAUUUCUUGUAACAUAGUACAAAAUUUAGCAACAGACAUUAACACUAUCAAUAUUUUCUGUACAAUAUACAAUAAAUUAGCACAAGACAUAUAACACUAUCCAAUUUCUAUUCUGUACAAUAUACAAAUUUAGGGGAAACAAGAACACUACAAUCUUCUCAUCAUCUAACAAUAUACUAUAGCAAAACAGACCAUAAAAACUAUUCAAUCCUUCCACAUUGUUUGAUACAAUAUACAAAAUUCAGCAACAAACAUAUAACACUAUCAAUUUCUAUUCUGAAACAUAUCAAAUCAGAAAACCAGAACCACUAAAUCACAUAUCAUCUCUUCUUUCCUUGGAUACAAUAUACAAAAAUUGUAGCAACCAAGAAAGAAAACAUUAUGCUGAGGAGGUCUCUAUUGUGUCGGUGGGAGUGGACAUUACGAAAAUGGGUGGGCAAACAAGAACACUUGUAGGAUAACGCGUGUAUCAAAUCUUUCAUUUCUAGUGGAGGACAAUAAAAAUUAGGCAAGACGGGGCAGGACGGGGAGGGCGUAAUGGUGGCACUAUCAAUCGUGGGGGAUCUCAUUCUGUGGUAUGUGGGACAAAUACAAAUUUAGCAAAAACGAAGACGGGACGUAAUAACACAUCAAUGGUGUGGUAUUCUCGAGGUGGAGAAAUUUACAAAGUUGAGCAAACGGAGACACUAUACAUACAGGUUGUGUCUCUUCAUCUUGAUAACAUAUACUAUUUAGCAAAACAAGAACACUUCAAUCUUCUCAUAUUCUAAUAACAACUGUAUAACAAAUUUAAGCAAACAAUGAACACUAUAACAACUUAUCAAUCCUCUCGAUUUCUUGAUACACAAUAUACAAAAUUCAGCAGAAACAGAACAUAAUCAACACUAUCAUCCUCUCAUUUCUUGACAACAAAACAAUUUAGCAAAACAAGAACAUGUACUAACACUUAUCAAUCUUCUUCAAUUUCUUGAGAUACAAUAUACAAAAUUUAGCGAACAAGAAGAACACUUAAUUAACACGAUGCAAUUUUCAUUUCUUAAUACAACUAUACAAAAUUUAGCAACCAAGAACACUAAUACAACUAUCAUAUCUUCUCAUUUCUUGCAUACAAUAUACAAAUCUAGCACAAACGAGAACACUAAUAACACAAUCAAUUUUCUCAUUCUUGAUAAAAUAUACAAAAAUUUUAGCAAAGCAAGAACACUAAUAACACGUAUCCAAUCACUUCUCAUUUCUUAAUAACAAUAGAAAAUUUUAGCAAACAAGAACAACUUAUAACACUAGUCAAUGCUCUCAUUCGUUUGCAAACAAUUAUACAAAUUAUAGCCCACAAGACAAUAAUACAAUUAUCAUCCUCUCAUUUCCGAGCGGGGACACUACAUAAUUUAGCAAAAACAAUAACCUAAUAACACUAUCAGAUCUUCUCAUUCUUGAUAACAACAUACAAAUUUAGCAAACAAGAACAUAAUAACCUAUACGCUUCACAUUUCUUAGAUAACAAUAUCAUAAUUUAGCAAAAACUAAGACAAUAAGAACACUCUCAAUCCUCUCUUUUCUGAUAAACAAUAAUACAAAUUUAACAAAAGAGAACACUAAAUAACACUAUCAAUCUUGCUGAUUUCUUGAUAAACAAUAUACAAAUCUUGGCCCCACAACAAGAAAACACUAAUAACACAUCAAUCUUCUCAUUUAUGAUAGAUAAAUAAACAGAAAUAAAUACAUGACCCAUCUCUAUAUCAAAAACAAAGAUAGCAAAACGCAUUUCAAUUCACAUAAAAUAGAAACACAAUCACUCAUUCUUAACAUAUACAAAAUUUAAAAACCUAAUACUAUCAAUUCUUCUUGAUAACAUAUACAAAAUUUAGCAAAACAAGAACACUAAUAACUAAUCAAUCUUCACAUUUCUUGAUAACAAAACAAAAUUCUAGCAAACAGACAACCUAAUAACACUGAUCAAUCUUCUCAUUUCUUGAUCAACAAUAUACAAAUUAGCAAAACUAAGAACACUAAAUAACACUAUAAUCUUCUCAUUCUUAUAACUAAUACAAAAUUUAGCAAACAGAUUCCUAAUACACUAUCAUCUUCUCAUUUCUUGAUAACAUAUACAAAAUUUAGCAAACAAGACACUAAUACACUACAAUCUUCUCAUUUUCUGAUAACGAAUUAUCAAAUUUAGCAAAACAGAACACUAAUAACACGUAUCACUUCUCAUUUCUUGAUAACAAAUAAGAAAUUUCAAACAAGCACUAAUACACUAUCAUCUUCUCAUUUCUUGAUAACAAAUACAAAAUUAGCAAAACAAGAACACUACCAUAACACUAUCAAAUCCUCUCAUUUCUUGAUAACAAUAACGAUAAAUUUAGCCAAAACAAGAUACACUAUACUCAAUCAUCUCUCAUUGUCUUGAUAAGCAAUAUACAAAAUGUUGAGCAAAACAAAAAACAAUAAUAACACUAUCAAUCGCUCUCAUUUCUGACAACAAUAUACACAAUUCUAUGCACACAGAACCCUAAAACACUUAUCAUUUCUCAUUUUCUUGAUAACAAUAACAAAAUUCUAGCAAAAGAACACUAAUACACUAUAAGCAAUCUCUCAUUCCUUGAUAACAAUAUACCAAAAUUUACACAACAAAGAACAUCUAAUAAACAUAUCAUCUUCUCAUUUCUGAAACAAUAUAACACAAAUUUAGGAAACAAGCCGAACAACUAAUAAUACUAUCAAUCAUCUUUCUUUACUUCAACAUAUACAAAUAUUAGCAAAACAAGCACACAAUAACACUAUCGAUCUUCCUCAUUUCUUUGAUAACCAAUAUACAAAUUAGCUAAACAAGAACACUAAUAACACUUAUCAAUCGUCUUCAUUUCUUAGUAAACAUAUACAAAUUUAGUCAAUAACAAAAACUAAUAACACUAUCAAUUCUCUCAUUCUAAUAACAAUAAUACAAAAUUUAGCAAACAAGAACCUAAUACACUAUCAAUCUUCACAUUCUGUGGAUAACAAUAUACAAAAUUUAGCGAAACAAAGAACCACUAAUAACACAAUCAAUUUUCUCAUUUUGAUAACAAUAUCAAAGUUUAGCAAGCAAGAACACUAAAUACACUAUCAAUCUUCUGAUAUUCUGAUAACAUAUACACAAUUUAGCCAAACGAAGAAACAUUAUAACACUAUCAAUCUAUUCAUUCUUAAUACAUAUACAAAUAUUAGCAAACAAGAACACUAAUAACACUUCAAUCUUCUCAGUUUCUUCGUAACAUAUACAAAAUUUUAGGCAAAACAGAACGAUAAUAACCUCUCAAUCUUUCUAUUUCUUGUAACAAUAUACAAAAUUUAGGAAAACAAGAACACUAUCAAUCUUCUCAUUUCUUUAUAACAAAUAUACAAAUUUAGCAAACUCAAGCACUAAUUUAACUAUCAAUCUUCACGAUUUCUUGUAUAUAUACCAAAAUUCAGCAAAACAAGAACCCUAAUAACACUAUCAUCUUCUCCUUGAUAACAAUAUACAUAAUUUAGCAAAACAAGAACACUAAUACACUAUCAAUCCCUCUUCAUUUAUUUGAUACAAUGUACAGAAAUUUGAAUCAACAAGACAUUAAUAACACUAUCAUCUAUCUCAUUUCUUGAUAACAUAUACAAAAUCUAGAAAACAGAAGCACCUAAUACACUAUCAAUCUCUCAUUCGUGAUAACAAUAUUACAAAAUUCAGCAAAGCAAGAACACUAAUACACUAUCAAUCUCUCAUUUCUGAUAACAACAUACAAAAUUUAGCAAAACAGAACAUCUAAUAACAUUAUCAAUCUUCUCAUUCUUCUGAUAACAAUAUACCAAAAUUUAACAACAGAACACUAAUAACACUUAUCAAUUCUUCUCAUUUCUUGCAUACAAUAUACAAUAAUUGUAGCAGAAUACUUAAAAACACUAUCAACUUCUUCUUGCAUAAAAUUGCAAAAAGAAUAUAACCUUUAUUUCAUCUCUAACAUAUACAAAAUUUUUUAGCAAAACAAGAACACUAAUAACAUAUCAUCCUCUCGAUUUCUUGACUAAAAUUAUACAAAAAUUUCAAGCAAACAAGACAUAAUAACACUAUCAUCCUUCUCAUUUCUUGAAACAAUAUAACAAAUUUCAGCACCAAACAAAGAACAUAAUAACAUCUUCAAUCUCUCAUUUUUUGAAUACAAUAUACAAAAUUCUAGCGAAACAAGAACCUAAUAACACUAUCGAUUUUCCUGGCAUUUCUUGAAUAACAAUAUACAAAUUAGCAAAACAAGACCAUUAAUAACAUAUCAAUCUUCUCAUUGUCUUGAUACAAUAUACAAAAUUUGCGAAACAAGGACACUAAUAACACUACAAUCAUCUUUCUCAUUUAUCUUAUAACAAUUUAUACAAAAUUUAGCAAAACCAAGACCCUAAUAACCGAUCAAUCUUCUCAUUCCUUGAUAACAAUACAAAUUCAGCAACAAGAACCUGAAUACACUACUUCAUCUUCUCAUUUCUGAUCAACAAUAUACAAAUUUAGCAAAACAAGAGACACUAAUACACAUUCUAUCACUUUCAACUCUCAUUGCAUGACCUUUGGCUAACAAAAAGGAUACCCAAAUUUAGCAAACAACAAUACAAUAAUCACCAUUAUCCAACAUCUUCUCAUUUCUUGAUAACANACUAUCAAUCUUCUCAUUUCUUGAUAUAUACAAAAAUGUUAGCGGAAAACAAGAACACUAAUAACACUAUCAUCAUCUUCUCAUUUCUUACAUACAUAUAAUACAAAAUUUAGCAAAACAAGACACCUAAUAACACAUCAAUCUCUCAUAUUCUUGAUAACAUAUACAAAAUUAGCAAAACAAGAACCCUAAUAACACUAUCAAUCUUCUCAUUUCUUGAUAACAAUAUACAAAAUUCAGCAAAACAAGAGACACUAAUACAUUCACUCAAUCUCUCAUUUCUUGAUAUACAAGAUAUACACAAAUUUAGACAAAACAGCAAAUCAAAUUAAUCACAUUAUCACAUCUUCUCAUUUCUUGAUAUACAAAUUAUAAAUUACCUUCAAUUUCUCUUAUUUGUUCUUCCCUCUACCGCCUCCGGAUUGAUACUACUAGGUUUUUUACUAGCUUUGAAAGGAGAUCGGAAUAUUGCUCUAUUGGCAGUCGGAAAAAAUUUUUUUAUAAGCCAUCCUUCCUAUUUCCUUCAUGUCCAGAAUGAAUAAAUAUACAAGAAUGUUAGCAAAACUAGGAAAAAAAAAAGAACGACUAGAUUUUAACCUACUUUCUGUUUAAUCUUUUCUCAUCUUAUAACUAAUUUAAUAUAUAUAAAUUUAGAAUCGUGUGUUAGAGAAAAAAAAAAGAAAAAAAAAAGAUAUACUAAUUUAUACACUAUUUCUAUUUCAUUUCUUCAUGAUUUCUUGAUAAGAAAAAUACUCUAAAAUUUAGCAUUAAACUUAAGAAACACAACUAUAUAAUAUCUUAUUUCUUCACAUUUUCCUUUCGUUAACAAUUAGUGAAAAUAAUUUCUAAGGAAAAUAAGUGUAAAAGAGACGAAAAACGAAAAAAAAAAAAAAAAAGAGGAACGAGAAGAAACAUAAGAAGAAUAAAAACAACGAUAAAAAACUCUGAGGAUUUUCCUCUUUAAUAAGCUUCAGUUUGCGGUGUUAUGGAUACUAACCAUACAUAAUAAACGGUUUCACGCAAAUUAUCCGAUUUUUAUCAUCAGAGCAGAAACAUCAACGAGAACGCGAGCUAUGUUUUUGAAGAGAACACUUGGAAGUCUCUCUUGAUAACUGUGGUCGCUAUAAUAUAGUGAUAGGCGUUAUGUCUUAGGGACACGCUUGAGAGCAUCUAUGGUAUCAACUCGAAUCAAAGGAGUGAGAGAUAGUAAAUCAAGGAUUCAUAAAUCUACAAUAACACUUAUGUGUUUUGUCUUGUCGAAAACUAGAGGAUUGGAUCAUUUUCUUCUCGGUGGUCUUUAUACAAAUCAAUAGUCAACUUUAGAUUAAUAAAUAUCUUACCAUUAUUUCCUUCAGCUUAUUAGAAUUUGGUGGUGUGGACGUUACUCCUUAAGCUACAGAUAGGGAAUCGAAAUUGAAUAAAACAGGGGAGGUGGGGUAGCAGAAUUUAGGGCAUUAAAGCGGAAGGGAAGGUGGACGAGGACUGAGGCUGGGGAGAUAGACACGGGUGGAAUGCGAGAGGUCCUCUCAUGAUGUGCGGAGUUGAUAACAAAAGUGGAUACAGAGAGCAAGGUUCGGUAACCGACCUAAACAAAUCUUUGUUGAUUGUUCUCUCUUUUCAUAUAAUCUGGCUAAGUUUGCAUAAAUUGAAGUCUGAUAGUUUGGUGAAUUAAUAGUAAAACUUUUAAUCACUACCACUUACAUUGUGUGCAAUUUAAAGAUUGUAAUCAGAACAUAUUAAAUUGGUAUGCAAGCAUUCACUUUCGAUUGCAGAAUCCUAUAAGGAAAAAUUCAUGGCACUCAGUUAAUUGAUGAAUAGAAUAAAAUUGAGAACUUAGGGUUGGAGUGCACACAAGUGAUUAUUCAUAUAAAUGGAUUAUUCAGCUUAAGAGUCGAUUAAUGAUAACAAACAUAAAUAACAACCUCUUCACCCACUAAUCAAUAGCUCUUCUGUUCUCAAUUAUUUCACUUAUUCUCUUAUGUGUCUAUCCAUUAGCAUGAGGACACAUACUCCAAAGGAUUGUUGUAAAUUAAUUGAUAUGCAUUUAAUUUUUAAAAUAGUUCGUUAGAUUAUAUCUCUUUUAGAUCAGUCUCCCAUUAUGGUUUACACAGCAAUCUCCGAUCUUUCUACUAACGGAACGUUUUAAGAAACAAGAACACUAAUAAAACUAUCAAUCUUCUCAAUUCUUAAUAACAAUAUACAAAAUUUAGCAAAACAAGAACACUAAUAACACUAUCAAUCUUCUCAUUUCUUGAUAACAAUAUACAAAAUUUAACAAAACAAGAACACUAAUAACACUGUCAAUCUUCUCAUUUCUUGAUAACAAUAUACAAAAUUUAGCAAAACAAGAACACUAUCAAUCUUCUCAUUUUUUGAUAACAAUAAAGAAAAUUUAGCAAAACAAGAACACUAAUAACACUAUCCAUCCUUUCAUUUCUUGAUAACAAUAUACAAAAUUCAGCAAAACAAGAACCCUAAUAACACUAUCAAUCUUCUCAUUUCUUGAUAACAAUAUACAAAAUUCAGCAAAACAAGAACACUAAUAACAGUAUCAAUCCUCUCAUUUCUUGAUUACAAUAUACAAAAUUUAGCAAAACAAGAACAUUAAUAACAUUAUCAAUCUUCUCAUUUCUUGAUAACAAUAUACAAAAUUUAGCGAAACAAGAACACUACUAACACUAAAUCAAUCUUCUCAUUUCUUUUAAUAAACAAUAUACAAAAUUUAGCAAAACAAGAACACUAAUAACAUCUAAUCAAAUCUUCUCAAUUUCUGAUGUAACAAUAUACAAAAUUUAGCAAACCAAGAACAUAAUAACACUAUCAAUCUCUCAUCAUUUCUUGAUAAACAAUAUACAAAUUUUAUGCAAAACAAGAAACACUAAUAAACACUAUCAAUCUUUCCAUUUCUUGAUAACAAUAUACAAAAUUUAGCGAAACAAGAACAAUAAUAACACUACACAAUCUUUAUUCUGAAUAAACAAUAUACAAAAUUUAGCAAAACAAGAACCAUCUAAUAAGCAUUCUAUCAAAUCUUCUCAUUUCUUGAUAACAAUAUACAAAAUUUAGCAAACUAGAUACACUAAUACACUAUCAAUCUUUCUCAUUUCUUUGAUAACAAUAUAUCUACUAAAUAUUAGCAAAAACAAGAACACUAAUAACAAAUGUAUCAAUCCUCUCAUUUCUUAAUAACAAUCUAAAUAAAAUUUAGCAAACAAGACAAUAACACUUCAAUCCUCUCAUUCUGAUAACAAACAUAUAACAAACAAACACUAAUCACUAUCAAUCUUCUGCAUUUCUUGAUGAACAUAUACAAAAUUUUAGCAAAACAAGACACUAAUAACACAUAUCAAUCUUCUCAUUUUUGAUAACAAUAUACAAAUUAAAAAAAACCAAGAACACUAAUAACACUAUCAAUCUUCUCAUUUCUUAUAACAAUGAUACUAAAAUUUAGCAAAACAAGAACACUAAUAACACAUAUCAAUCUUCUGACUUUCUUGAUAACAAUAUAAAAAAAUUUAGCAGAAACAGAACACUAAUAAACUAUCAAUCUUCUCAUUUUCCUUAAUAACAAUAUACAAAUUUAAAAACAAGAACACUAAAUAACACUAUCAAUCUUCAUUUCUUGAUAAACAAUAUCAAAAUUAGCAAAACAACAUUAAUAACACUAGUCAUCUCUCAUUUCUUGAUACAAUAUACAAAUUUAGAAAAACAAGAACACUAUACACUAUCAUCUUCUCAAAUUUUCUUGAUAACAAUAUACAGAAAUUUAGCCAAUAACAAGAACACUAAUAACACUAUCAUCUCUCAUUUCUUGAUACAAUAUAUCAAAAUUCGCAAUACAAAGAAACUAUAACACUAUCAACUUCUCAUUCUUGAUAACAAUAUACAAAUUAGGCAAACACAAAACACUAAUAACACCUAUCAAUCUCUCAUUUCUUGAUAACAUAUACAAAAUUUAGCAAAACAAGAACAUAUAACAUUAUCCAUCUUCUCAUUUCUUGAUAACAAUAUACAAAUUUACGAAACAAGAACACUAAUAACACUAUCAAUCUUCCUCAUUUUUGAAUCAACAAUAUACAAAAUUUAGCAAAACAAGAAACUAAUAACACUAUCAAUCUUUCUCAUUUCUUGAUAAAAUAUACAAUUUAGCAAAAACAGAAGCACUAAUAACACUAUCAAUUGUCCUCAUUUUCUUUGAUAACAAAUACAAAAUUUAGCAAAAACAAGAACACUAUAACACUAUCAAUCUUCCAUUUCUUGAUAACAAAUACAAAUUUAGCAAAACAAGAACAAUAAUAACACUUCAAUCUUCUUUCCUUGAUAACAAUAUACAAAAUCUAGCAAAAAAGAACACUAAUAACACUAUCAAUCUUCUGUUCUUUUGAUAACAAUAUACAAAUUUGCAAAACAGAGAACACUAAUAACACUUCAUCUUCUCAUUUUUCAUAACAAUAUACAAAUUUACAAACAAGAACAUAAUAACAUAUCUAUCUUCUCAAUUUUCUUUGAUAACAAUAUACAAAUUUAGCAAAACAAGAACAUAAUAACACUAUCAAUCUUCUCAUUUCUGAUAACAAUAUACAAAAUUUAGCAAAACAAGAACAAAUAACAUAUCAAUCUUCUAUUUCUUGAUAACAAUAUACAAAUUUAGCAAAACAAGAACACUAAUAACACAAAUCUUCUCAUUCUUGAUAAAUAUACAAAAUUUAGCAAAACAAGAAACACUAAUAACAUUAUCAAUUCUCUCAUUUCUUAAUAACAAUACAUAAUUUAGCAAACAAGAACAUAAUAACACUGCUUCAUCUCUCAUUCUUGAUAACAAUAUACAAAAUAUAGCAAAACCAGAAACACUAAUACACUCAUCAAUCUUCUCAUUUCUUGAUAACAAUAUACAAAAUUUGCAACAGAACAUAAUACACUAUCAAUCUUCUCAUUUCUUGAUUAACAUAUACAAAAUUUAAAAAAAAACAAGAACACUAAUAACACUAUAUCUCUCAUUUCUUGAUAACAAUAAUACAAAAUUUAGCAAAACAAGACACUAAUAACAUUCAAUCUUCUCAUUUCUUGAUAAACAAUAUAAAAAAUUUAGCAAAACAAGAACAUAAUAACUAUCAAUCUUCUCAUUUCUUAAACAAUAUACAAAAUUUAGAAAAACAGAACACUAAUAACAUAUCAUCUUCUCAUUUCUUGAUAACAAUAUACAAAUUUAGCAACAAGAACACUAAUAACACUUCAAUCUUCUCAUUUUUGAUAACAAUAUACAAAAUUUAGCAAAACAAGAACACUAUCAAUCUUCUCAUUUUUGAUAACAAUAUACAAAAUUUAGCAAAACAAGAACACUAAUAACACUAUCAUCUCUCAUUUCUGAUAACAAUAUACAAAAUUCAGAACAAACAAGAAGCUUCAUUCUUGAUAACAACUAUCAUUCCAACAAGACAUAUCAUUCCAUGUCUGAUAAAUGAAAAUUUCUAAGCAAAUCAAGACACAAUAAACAUCCACUACAUUUGAACAAUUUUACGAACAAGAAAUGAUACACUCUCCAAUUCUCAUUCUGAUAACAAUAUACAAAUUUAGAAAACAAGAACUUAUCAAUCCUCUCAUUUCUUGAUAACAAUAUACAUAAUUUAGCAAAACAAGAACACUAAUAACACUAUCAAUCUUCUCAUUUCUUGAUAACAAUAUACAAAAUUUAGAAAAACAAGAACACUAAUAACACUAUCAAUCUUCACAUUUCUUGAUAACAAUAUACAUAAUUUAGCAAAACAAGAACAAUAAUAACACUCUCAGUCCUCUUUUUUCUUGAUAAUAAUAUACAAAAUUUAACAAAAGAAGAACACUAAUAACACUAUCAAUCUUCUGAUUUCUUGAUAACACUAUACAAAAUUUAGCAAAACAAGAACACUAAUAACACUGUCAAUCUUCUCAUUUCUUGAUAACAAUAUACAAAAUUUAGCAAAACAAGAACACUAUUAAUCUUCUCAUUUUUUGAUAACAAUUUACAAAAUUUAGCAAAACAAGAACACUAAUAACACUAUCCAUCCUCUCAUUUCUUGAUAACAAUAUACAAAAUUCAGCAAAACAAGAACCCUAAUAACACUAUCAAUCUUCUCAUUUCUUGAUAACAAAAUUUAGCACAAACAAGAACACUAAUAAACACUAUCAAUCUUUCUUGAUAACAAUAUACAAAAUUCAGCAAAACAAGAACACUAAUAACACUAUCAAUCUUCUCAUUUCUUGAUAACAAUAUACAAAAUUCAGCAAAACAAGAACACUAAUAACACUAUCAAUCCUGUCAUUUCUUGAUAACAAUAUACAAAAUUUAGCAAACCAAGAACAUUAAUAACAUUAUCAAUCUUCUCAUUUCUUGAUAACAAUAUACAAAAUUUAGCAAAAUAAGAACACUAAUAACACUAUCAAUCUUCUUAUUUCUUGAUAACAAUAUACAAAAUUUAGCAAAGCAAGAACACUAAUAACACUAUCAAUCUUCUCAUUUCUUGAUAACAAAAUAGAAAAUUUAGCAAAACAAGAACACUAAUAACAAUAUCAAUCCUCUCAUUUCUUGAUAACAAUAUACAUAAUUUAGCUAAACAAGAACACUAUCAAUCUUCUCAUUUCUUGAUAACAAUAUACAAAAUUUAGCAAAACAAGAACACUAAUAACACUAUCAAUCCUCUCAUUUCUUAAUAACAAUAUACAAAAUUCAGCAAAACAAGAACCCUAAUAACACUAUCAAUCUUCUCAUUUCUUGAUAACAAUAUACAAAAUUCAGCAAAACAAGAACACUAAUAACACUAUCAAUCCUCUCAUUUCUUGAUAACAAUAUAAAAAGUUUAGCAAACAAGAACACAAUAACACUAUCAAUCUUCUCAUUUCUUAAUACAAAUAUAGAAAAUUUAGCAAAACAAGAACACUAAUAACACUAAUCAAUCUCUCUCUUUCUUAGAUAACAAUAUACACAAAUUUUAGCAAAACAAGAACACUAAUAACAUUAUCAAUCUUCUCAUUUCUGAUAACAAUUAGACAAAUUUAGCAAAACAAGAACACUAUAUAACACUAUCAAUCUUUCUCAUUUCUUGAUAACAAUAUACAAAAUUAUAAAAACAGAAACACUAAUAACACUAUCAAUCUUCUCAUUUCUUGAUAACAAUAUAACAAAAUUUAGCAAAACAAGAACACUAAUAACACUAUCAAUCUUCUCAUUUCUUGAUAAAAAUAGCAAAAUUAGCAAAACAAGACACUAUAACAACUAUCAAUCUUCUCAUUUCUUAAUAACAAUAUACAAAUUUAGCAAAAAGAACACUAAUAACACUAUCAAUCUUUCCAUUUCUUGAUAACAAUAUACAAAAUUGCAAAACAAGAACACUAAUAACACUCAAUUCUUCUCAUUUCUUGAUAACAAUAUACAAAAUUUAGCAAAACAAGAACACUAUCAAUCUUCUCAUUUCUUGAUAACAAUAUACAAAAUUUAGCAAACAAGAAACACUAAUAACACUAUCAUCUCUCAUUUCUUGAUAACAAUAUACAAAAUUCAGCAAAACAAGAACCUAAUAACAUAUCAAUCUUCUCAUUUCUUGAUAACAAUAUACAAAAUUCAGCAAAACAAGAACAUAAUAACUAUCAAUCCUCUCAUUCUUGACAACAAUAUACAAAAUUAAGGCAAAACAAGAACAUUAAUAACAUUAUCAAUCUUCUCAUUUCUUGAUAACAAUAUACAAAAUUUAGCGAAACAAGAACACUAAUAACACUAUCAAUCUUCUCUUUUUUCUUAAUAACAAUAUACAAAAUUUAGCAAAACAAGAACACUAAUAACACUAUCAAUCUUCUCAUUUCUUGAUAACAAUAUACAAAAUUUAGCAAAAACAAGAACACUAAUAAACACAUCAAUCUUCUCAUUUCUUGAUAACAAUAUACAAAAUUUAGCAAAGCAAAGAACACUAAUAACACUAUCAAUCUUCUCAUUCUUGAAUAACAAAAUAGAAAAUUUAGGCAAAACAAGAACACUAAUAACAUCAAUCCUUCAUUUCUUGAUAACAAUAUACAAAUUUAGCAAAACAAACACUAAUAACAUAUCAACCUCAUUUCUUGAUAACAAUAUACAAAAUUUGCAAAACAAGAACACUAUAUUAACACUAUCAAUUUCUCAUUUCUUAAUAACAAUAUACAAAAUUUAGCAAAAAAAACAAAACAUAAUAACACUAUCAAUCUCUCAUUUCUUGAUAACAUAUACAAAAUUUGGCAAAACAAGAACACUAAUAACACUAUCAAUGCUUCUUCAUUUCUUGAUAACAAAUAUACAAAUUUAAAAACAAGAACACUAUAACAACUAUCAAUCUUCUCAUUUCUUGAUAACAAUAUACAAAAUUUAGCAAAACAAGAAACUAAUAACACUAUCAAUCUUCUCAUUUCUUGAUAACAAUAUCAAAAUUUAGCAAAACAAGAACACUAUAACACUAUCAAUCUUCUCAUUUCUUAAUAACAAUAUACAAAAUUUAGCAAAACAAGAACACUAAUAACACUAUCAAUCUCUCAUUUCUUGAUAACAAUAUACAAAAUUUAGCAAAACAAGAACACUAAUAACACUUCAAUCUUCUCAUUUCUUGAUAACAAUAUACAAAAUUUAGCAAACAAGAACACUAAAACACUAUCAAUCUUCUCAUUUCUUGAUAACAAUAUAAAUUUAGCAAAACAAGAACACUAAUAACAACAUCUCAUCCUCUAUUUCUGAUAACAAUAUACAAAAUUCAGCAAACAAGAACCCUAAUAACACUAUCAAUCUUCUCAUUUCUUGAUAACAAUAUACAAAAUUCAGAAACAAGAACACUAAUAACACUAUCAAUCUUCUCAUUUCUUGAUAACAAUAUAAAAUUUAGCAAAAACAAGAACAUUAAUAACAUUAUCAUCUUCUCAUUUCUUGAUACAAUAUACAAAAUUUAGCAAAAAAGAACACUAAUAACACUAUCAAUCUUCUCAUUUCUUGAUAACAAUAUACAAAAUUUAGCAAACAAGAAACUAAAACACUAAUAAUCUCUCAUUUCUUGAUAACAAUAUACAAAAAUUAUAGAAAACAAGAACACUAUCAAUCUUCCUCAUUUUUUGAUAACAAUAUCAAAAUUUAGCAAAACAGAACACUAAAACACUAUCUCUUCUCAUUUCUUGAUAACAAUAUACAAUUCGCAAAACAAGAACACUAAUAACACUAUCAAUCUUCUCAUUUCUUGAUAACAAUAUACAAAAUUUAGCAAAACAAGAACACUAAUAACACUAUCAAUCCUCUCAUUUCUUGACAACAAUAUACAAAAUUUAGCAAAACAAGAACAUUAAUAAACUAUCAAUCUUCUCAUUCUUAUAACAAUAUACAAAAUUUAAGCGAAACAAGAACACUAAUAACACUAUCAAUCUUCUCAUUUCUAUAAUAACGAAUAUACAAAAUUUAGCAAAAAAGAAAACACUAAUAACACUAUCAAUCUUCUCAUUUCUUGAUAACAAUAUACAAAAUUACAAAACAGAACAACUAAUAACACAUCAAUUUUCUCAUUUCUUGAUAACAUAUACAAAAUUUAGCCAAAAGCAAGAAACACUAAUAAACUAUCAAUCUUCUCAUUUCUUAAUAACAAUAAUAGAAAAUUUAGCAAAACAAGAAACACUAAAACACUAUCAAUCAUCUCAUUUCUUAAUAAACAAUACANNNNNNNNNNNNNNNNNNNNNGGCAAAAAAAGAAGGGAGAGGAGGGAGGAGUAGAGGGAAUAUAUAUCUGCAACAUACAGCCAGGAGAGUAUUAUAUUUAAUUUUAAUAUAGAGAGAAUUCACACACAUUACAGUAAGUAACUCAAUAUAUAUAAAUUAACAACAUCUCUAUAUGUAUUAUAAUAUACACAUAUAAUCUAUAUAUUAUCUCAAUCUAGUAUCACUAAUUAGAUAUCACUUAGAUCACAUACACCUUAUAACUCACAAAAAGAAUAUUUUAUAUAUAUAGCGCGAGAGAUAUAUAUACCACUCACUAGAAAAUACACAAAUCACAAAUUAUGACACCACUAUAUUCUUUCACAAAUGAGUUGACAUUAUAUAUAUAAAUACUAAAUAUUGUGUAGCAACAAUGAUAUAAUACUCACGCUUAUAAAUAACAUCUAUAGUAAGAAAGAAGAAAUAUUUAUGAAUAAACAAUCAUUGCUAUAUAAUAAUGAGAGAGUGCACAACACAUAAUAUAGGAACAUCAAUAUAGUAACAACAUAAUUCGGAUUAUGUCUCUCUCUAUAUGCUCAUAAUUUAUGCGUAUUAGAUAUAAAAAUAAUACAAAUAGCUUCUCACAUGCAAUAAAUGCAGGAUCACAAAUAUAUAUUAACACUAGUAAUCACAAACUUACUUACUCAUUUUUCUUGAAUAACUAAAUAUAUAACUUUUAAAGCACAUAACCACACGUAUAUUCACCUAAUAAACACUAUCAAUCUCUCAUUUCUUGAUAACAAUAUACAAAAUUUAGCAAAAACAAGAAACAACUAUAAUAACAUUAUCAAUUCGCUCUCAUUUCUUGAAAACAAUAUACAUAAUUUAGCAAAACAAGAACAAUAAAACACUCUCAAUCCUCUCAUUUCUUAAUACAAUAUACAAAAUUUAAGAAAAAGAAGAAACACUAAUAACACUAUCAAUCUCUGAUUUCUUGAUAACAAUAACAAAAUUAGCAAAACAAGAACACUAAUAACACUAUCAAUCUUCUCAUUUUCUUAUAACAAUAUACCAAAAUUUAAGCAAAACAAGAAACACUAAUAACACUAUCAAUCUUCUCAUUUCUUGAUAACAAUAUACAAAAUUUAGCAAAACAAGAACACUAAUAAACACUAUCAAUCUUCUCAAUUCUUGAUAACAAUAUACAAAAUUAAAAAAACAAAAGAACACUAAUAACACUAAUCAAUCUUCUCAUUUCUUGAUAACAAAUAUACAAUUUAAAAAACAAGAACACUAAUAACACUAUCAAUCUCUCAUUUCUUGAUAACAAUACUACAAAUUGCAAAACAAGAACACUAAUAACACUCAAUCUUCUCAUUUCUUAUAACAAUAAAAAAUUUAGCAAACAAGAACACUAAUAACACUAUCAAUCUUCUAUUUCUUGAUAAACAAUAUAAAAAAUUUAGCAAAAUAAAAACACUAAUAACACUAUCAAUCUUCUCAUUUCUUGAUAACAAUAUAAAAAAUUUAGCAAAAACAGAGACACUAAUAACACUAUCAAUCUUCUCAUUUCUUGAUAACAAUAUACAAAAUUUAGCAAAACAAAGAACACUAAUAAAACUAUCAAUCUUCUCAUUUCUUGAAUAACAAAUACAGAAUUUUAGCAAAACAAAGAACACUAAUAACACUAUCAAUCCUCUCAUUUCUUGAUACCAAUAUACAAAUUUAGCAAAACAAGAACACUAAUAAACUAUCAAUCUCUCAAUGUUCUUGAUAAUACAAUAUAUAAAUUUAGCACAAACAAGAACACUAAUAAACACUAUCAAUCUCUCAUUUCUUGAUAACAAUUACAAAUUUAGCAAAACAAGAACGUACUAAUAACACUAUCAAUCCUCAUUUCUUGAUAACAAUAUACAAAUUAGGAAACAAGAACACUAAUAACACUAUCAAUCUUAAUUUCUUGAUAACAAUAUACAAAAUUAGCAAAACAAGAACACUAAUAACACUAUCAUCUUCUCAAUUUCUUGAUAACAAAUAAUACAAAAAUUUAGCAAACAAGAACACUAAUAACACUAUCAAUCUUCUAAUUUCUUGAUAACAAUAUACAAAAUUUAGGAAAAAAGACAUGAUAACAUAUCAAUCUUCUCAUUCUUUUGAUAACAAAAUACAAAUUUAAGCAAAGCAAAGAACACUAAUAAAACUUCAAUUUCUCAUUUCUUGAUAACAAAAUAGAAAAAUUUUAGCAAAACAAGAACACAAAUUACUAUCAUCUUCUCAUUUCUUGAUAACAAUAUAUCAAAAUUAGCAAAACAAGAACAGCUAUAACAUUAAUGCAAUCCUCUCAUUUCUUGAUAACAAUAUACAUAAUUAGCAAAAACCAAGAAACACUAAUCAUCUUCUCAUUUCUUGAUAAUAAUAUACCCAAAAUUUAGCAAAACAGAACCAAUAACACUAUCGAUCCUCUCCCUUUCUUGAUAACAAAUAAAGUACGAAAUUCAGCAAAAAAGAACGCUAAUAACUACUAUCAGAUCUUCUCAUUUCUUGAUAACAAUAUACAAAAUUCAGCAAAACAAGAACACUAAUAACAUUAUCAAUCCUCUCAUUCUUGAUCAACAAAUAUAACAAAAUUUAGCAAAACAAGAACAUUAAUAACAUUAUCAAAUCUUUCCAUUUCUUGAUAACAAUAUAGAAAAUUUAGGCGAAACAAGAACACUAUAACACUAUCAAUCAUCCUUUCAUUUCUAAUAAUAAUAUAAAAUUUAGCAAAACAAGAACAACUAAAUAACACGUCAAAUCUUCACAUUUCUUGAUAAACAAUAUACAAAAUUUAGCAAAACAAGAACACUAAUAACACUAAUCGAUCUUCUCAUUUUCUUGAUAACAAUAUACAAAAUUUAAAGCAAAGCAAGACCACUAAUAACACUAUCCAAGCUUCUCAUUUCUUGAUAACAAAAUAGAAAAUUUAGCAAAACAAGAACACCUGAAUACACUAUCAUCCUUCUCAUCUCUUGAUAACAGUAUAUCAAAACUUUAGCAAAACAAGAACACUAAUAACAUUAUCAAUCCUCUCAUUUUCUUGAUAACAAUAUACAUAAUUUAGCAAAACCAAAACAAUAUACAACACUCUCAAUCCUCUCAUUUCUUAAUAACAAUAUACAAAAUUUAAGAAAAGAAGAACACUAAUGACACUAAUCAAUCUUCUGAUUUCUGAUAAACAAUCUACAAAAUAUAGCAAAACAAAGAACAUAAUAACACUAUGCAAAUCUUCUCAAUUUCUCAUAACAAUUAACAAAAUUUAGCAAAACAAAACACUAAAUAACACUAUCAUCUUCUCAUUUUUUGUACAAUAUAACAAAUUUAGCAAAACAAAGAACACUAAUAACACUAAUCAAUGCUUCUCAUUUCUUGAUACAAUAUACAAAAUUUUAGGCAAAACAAGAAACUAUAACACUAUCAAUCUUUCUCUAUUUCUUGAUAACAAUAUACAAAAUUUUUAAAAAAUAACAAGAACACAAUAACACUAUCAAUUUCUCAUUUCUCCUUGAUAACAAUAUACAAAAUUUAGCAAAACAAAAACACUAAUAACACUAUCAAUCUUCUAAUUUCUUGAUAAGCAAAUAUAAUCAAAAUUUUAGCAAAACAAUAACACUAAUACACUAUCAAUCUUCUCAUUUCUUUCUUGAUAACAAUAUACAAAACUUAAAAAAACAAAGAACACUAAUAAACACUACAUCUUCUCAUUUUUGAUAACAAAUUUACAAAACUUUAAAAAAACAAAAAACUAAUAACACUAUCAAUCUUCUCAUUUCUGAUAACAUAGAUAAAAUUUUGCAAAAACAACGAACACUAAUAACUACUGUCACUCUUCUCAUUUCUGAUAAACAAUAUACAAAAUUUAGCAAAACAAGAACACUAAUAACACUAUCAAUCUUCUGAUUUUCUUGAUAACAAUUUAUACAUAAUUUUGGCCAAAUAAAAACCUAAUAACACUAUAAAUCUCUUCAUUUCUUGAUAACGAUAUAAAAACUUAGCAAAAACAAGGACACUAAUAACACUAUCAAUCUUCACUUUCCUUGAUAUACAAUGAUACAAAAUUUAGCAAAACAGAAACACUAAUACAAAAACUAUCAAUCUUCUCAUUUCUUGAUAACAAUAACAGAAUUUUGCAAAACAAGAACAUUGAUAAACUAUCAAUCCUCUCAUUUCUUGAUAACAAUAUAACAAGAAUUUAGCCAAAAAAAGAACACUAAUAAACUCUAAUCCUCCAAUUUCUUGAUAAUAAUAUCAUAAAAUUUUAGCAAAACAAGAAACCAUAACACUAUCAAUCCUCUCAUUUAUUGAUAACAAUGUAACAGAAUUUAUCAAAGAACAAGAACACUAUAACACUUAUCAAUCCUCUUCAUUUCUGAUAACAAUUAGCAAAUUGCAGUAACAAAACAAGAAUACUAAUAUACUACUCUCAUCUUCUUCAUUUCUGAUAUACUAUAUUAUCAUAAAUUCAGCAAAACAUAGAACACUAUAACACUAUCAUCCUCUCAAUUUCUUGAAUAACAACAUACAAAAUUUAGCAAAACAAGAACAUUAAUAACAUUUAUCAAGUCUUCUCAUUUCCUUGAUAACAAUACUACAAAAUUUAGCAAAAACAAGAACACUAAUAACGAAUUUUCAAUUCUUUUUCAAUUUCCUUGAUUAACAAUAUACAAAAUUUAGCAGAAGCAAGAACAGACUAAUAAACUGAUCAAUCUUCUCAUCUUCUGAUAACAAAAAUAGAAAAUUUAGCAAAACAGAAGAAACACUAAUAACACUAAUCAUUCCUUCUCAUUUUCUUGAUAACAAUAUACAAAAAUUUAGCAAAACAGAACACUAAUAACAAUUAUCAUCCAAUCAUUUUCUUGAUAACAAUAUAUCAAAAUUUAGCAAACAAAAACAACUAAUAACACAAUCAAUCCUCCUCAUUUUCUUGAUUUAACAAUAUACAAAAUUCAGCAAAACAAGAACAGCCUAAUAACACUAUCAAUCUUUCAAUUUCUUAAUAACAAUAUACAAUUCAGCAAAACAAGAACACUAAUAACACUAUAUCCUCGUCAAUUUUCUUGAUAACAAUAUACAAUUUAAGCAAAAACAAGAACAUUAAUAACAUUAUCAAUCUUCUCAUUUCUUGAUAACAAUAUACCAAGUUAAGCAAAACAAGGACACUAAUAACACUAUCAAUCAUCUCAUUUCUUAAUAAUAAUAAUAUCAAAAUUUAGCAAAACAAGACCACUAAUAAACUAUGCAAUCUUCUCAUUUCUUGAUAACAAUAUAACAAAAUUUAAGCAAAACCCAAGAACACUCAUUAACACUAUCAUCUUCUCAUUUCUUGAUAACAACAUAACAAAUUACAAACCCAAGAACACUAAUAACACUAUCAAUCUCACAUUCUUGAUAAGCAAAUAUACAAAAUUUAGCAAACAAGAACAUUAAUAAACUAUCAAUCCUCUCAUUUCUUGAAUAACAAUAUACAAAUAUUCAGCAAAACAAGAACCUAAUAACAACUAUCAAUCUUCUCAUUUCUUGAAUAACAAUAUAAACUAAAAUUCAGCAAGAAGCAAGAACACUAAUAACCACUGUCAAUCCUCUCAAUUUCUGAUAACAAUUCAAAUUAAGCAAAACAAGAAAUAUUAAUAACAUAUCAAUCUUCUCAUUCUUAUAACAAUAUACAAGAAUUUGGCGAAACAAGGAACACCUAAUAACACAGAAUCAAUCAUCGUCAUUUUUAAUAAUAAUAUACAAAAUUUAGCACCACAAGAACACGUAAUAACACUACAAUCUUCUCAUCUUGAAUAACAAUAGUAUAAAUUAGCAAAACAAAGAAUAACUAAUAACGACUAUCACUCUUCGUCUUUCUUGAUAAGAAAAUACAAAAGUUUUAGCAAAACAAGAACAGCUAAUAACACUUUAUCGAAUCUUCACAUUUCUUGAUAACAAUAUACAAAAUUUAGGCAAAACCAAGAACACUAAUAACACUAUCAAUCCUCAUCAUUUCUUGAUAACAAUAUACGAAAUUCAGCAAACAAGAACCUAAUACACUAUCAAUCUUCACAUUUUCUGAUAACCAAUAUAAUAAUUUAUGCAAAACAAGAACACUAAUAACACUAUCCAAUCCUCUCAUUUAUUGAUAACAAUGUACAGAAUUUCAGCAAAGACAAGAACACUAAUAACACUAUCAAUCCUCAUCAUUUCUUCCUUGAUAACAAUAACAAAAUUCAGCAAAACAAGAAACACUAAUAACACUAUCAAUCUUCUCAUUUCUUGAUAACAAUAUACAAAAUUUCAGCAAAACAAGAACACUAUAACACUAUCAAUCCUCUAUUUCUUGAUAAACACAUACAAAAUUUAGCAAACAAAACAUUACUCAAGCAUUAAUCAAUCUUCUCAUUUCUUGAUAACAAACAAAAUUAGCAAAACAAGACACUACUAAUAACCUUUCAAUCUUCUCAUUUCUUGAUAACAAUAUACAAAUUUAGCAAAACAAGACACUAAUAACACUAUCAAUCUUCUCAUUUCUUGAUAACAAAUACAAAAUUUAGCAAAAGAAGAACACUAAAUACACUAUCAAUCUUCUCAUUUCUUGAUACAAUAUACAAAAUUUAGCAAAACAAGAACACUAAUAACAAUUCAUCCUCUCAUUUCUUUGAUAACAAAUACAAAAUUUAGCAAAAACAAGAGAACACUAUAACACUAUCAAUCCUCUCAUUUCUUGAUAACAAUAUACAAAAUUUCAGCAAAACAAGAACCCUAAUACACAUUCAAUCUUCUCAUUCUCUUAUAAACAAUAUACAAAAUUCAGCAAAACAAGAACACUAAUAACACUAUCAAUCCUCUCAUUUCUGAUAACAAUAUACAAAAUUUAGCAAAACAAGAACACUUAAUAACACUAUCAAUCGUUCUCAUUUUGAUAACAAUAUACAAAUUUAGCAACAAAACAAGAACACUAAUAAACAUUAUCAAUCCUCUCAUUCUUUGAUGAACAAUAUACAAAAUUUAGCAAAACAAGAACACUAAUAAACACUAUCAAUCCUCUCAUUUCUUGAAACAAAUAUACAAAAUUCAGCAAAACAAGAACCCUAAUAACACUAUCAAGCUUCUCAUUUCUUGAUAACCAAUAUACAAAAAAUUCAGCAAAACAAGAACACUAAUAACACUAUCAAUCCUCUCAUUUCUUGUAACAAUAUACAAAUUAGCAAAACAAGCAACGAUUAUAACAGUUAUCAAUCUACUCAUUCUUGAUAACAAUAUACAAAAAGUUAGCGAAAACAAGGACACUAAUAACACUAUCAAUAUCUCAUUUCUUUAAUAAUAGAAUAUACAAAAUUAGCCAAACAAGACCCCUAAUAACCACUAUUCAAUCUUCUCAUUCUUGAUAACAAUAUCAAAUUUAGCCGAAAAACAAAGAACACUAAUUACACUAUCAAUCUUUCUCAUUUCUUGAUAAAAACAUACAAAAUUUAGCAAAACAAAGACAUAUAACACUAUUCAUCUUCACAUUCUUAUACAAUAUACCAAUUUAGCAAAACCAAGAAACACUAAAUAACACUAUCAAUCAAACAAGAACACUAAAACACUGAUAAUCUUCUCAUUUCUUAAUAACAAUAUACAAAUUCUAGCAAACAAGACACUAAUAACAUAUCAAUCUUCUCAUUUCUUUAUAAACAAUAUACAAAAUUUAGCAACAAGGAACAUUAAUAACAUAUAAUCUUCUUCAUUUCUGCUAAACAAUAUACAAAAUUUAGCGCAAACAGAACAGCUAAUAACACUUAUCCAAUACUUCUCAUUCUCUAAAUAACCAAUAUAAAAUUUAAACAAACAAGAAUAAUAACACAUAUCAAUCUUCUAUUCUUGAUAACAAUAGAUACAAAUUUGCAAAACAAGAACACAAAUCACUAUCAAUCUCUCAUUCUAUAUGAUAACAAUAUACAUAAAUUUAGCAACAAGAAACAUAUCAACUAUCAUCUCUAUUUCUAUAAACAAUAGAAAAUUUAGCAAAACAAGAACCUAAUAACACUAACAUCCUUCUCAUUUCUGGAUAACAAUAUACAAAUUUAGCAAACAAGAACACUAUCACCAUUAUCAAUCUCUUCAUCUUCUGAUACUUACAUAUUUGCCAAAAGACCAAUGACACAAUAUCUCACAUAAAACGUCAAUUUACAACCGAACACUAAUAACUAUAUCAUCUGUAAAACAAUCUAUAUUACAAAAUGUAACUCCUCUUCUCGAUCAAUUUCAAAUUGAAACGAAAACCUAAUACAUUAUAAUUUCAUUUAUAUCAAGCAAAACAAGAACUUAAAUACAUCUAUCACAGUUCUCUCAUUUUUAUUAACAAUAUACAAAAUUUAGCCAACAAGACACUAUAUAACGCCUCUCUACUAUCAAUAUAAAUCGCAACAAGUAUCUGCAAUUUCUUAUCUAUAACCAUAUACAAUUAGCAAACAAAGAAACAUUAAACAUCUAUCAAUCUUCUCAUUCUUGAUAACGAAUAUACAAAAUUUUAGCGAAAACAAGAAACACUAAUAACACUAUCAAUCUUCUAUUUACUUAGAUAACAAUACACAAAAUUUUAGCAAAACAAGAACACAACAACUAUCAUCUUCUCAUUUUAUAUAACAAUAUACCAAACAUUAGCAAAAAAGAACAUACUAAAACACAUUAUCAUUCCUUCUCAUUUCUUUGAUAACAAUUAUACAAAAUUCAGCCAAAGACAGAGAACCAUAAAACAUAGUCAAUCUUCUCAUUUCUUAAUAACAAAUAGCAAAUUUUAGCAAAACAAGGAACACUAAAUCAAAACACUAAUCAAUUUUCCAAUCUUCAUUUCUUGAUACCAAUAUACAAAAUUUAGCAAAACAAGAACACUAAUAACACUGUCAAUCUUCUCAUUCCUUGAUAACAAUAUACAAAAUUUAGCAAAACAAGAACACUAAUAACACUAUCAAUCCUCUCAUUUCUUAAUAACAAAAUAGAAAAUUUAGCAAAACAAGAACAUUAAUAACACUAUCAAUCUUCUCAUUUCUUGAUAACAAUAUACAAAAUUUAUCAAAACAAGAACACUAAUAACACUAUCAAUCCUCUCAUUUCUUGAUAACAAUAUACAAAAUUCAGCAAAACAAGAACACUAAUAACACUAUCAAUCUUCUCAUUUCUUGAUAACAACAUACAAAAUUUAGCAAAAGAAGAACACUAAUAACACUAUCAAUCUUCAUAUUUCUUGAUAACAAUAUACAUAAUUUAGCAAAACAAGAACACUAAUAACACUAUCAAUCUUCUCAUUUCUUAAUAACAAAAUAGAAAAUUUAGCAAAACAAGAACACUAAUAACACUAUCAAUCUUCUCAUUUCUUGAUAACAAUAUAAUACUAUCAAUAUCUUCUCGAUUCGGGUUUUGUAGGAUAACAAUAUUAAAAUUUUUAAAAGAAGAAAAAAAAAAAAAAAAAGAAAGAAGAAAAAAACAAGAGAAAAGCACGAGCUCAUAACAUAAUCGAGAUCUGCUUCAUUUUCUUCCGAUAACGAAUAUACAAAAGUUUAGCCCCACCCCCCGCCGCCGCACGCCCACGCCCAGCCACCCCACCACGCCCCCGCCACACACCCCCCAAGCCCCAAAACCUAGAACGACUAACAUAAACACUAUCAAUCUUCUCAUUUUCUUGAAACAUAUACAAGAAUUUAGCCAAAAAAACAAGAACCAACGUAAUAAAAAACUAUCAGGUCUUUCAAUUUCUUUAAAAAUAACAAUAUACAAAAAUUUUAGGCAAAACACAAAGAACACAAUAACACUAUCAAUGUCUUCUCGAUUUCUUUGAUUAACAAUAUACAAAAGUGUUAGCAAAACAAAGAAACACAAAAACACGGUAUUCAAUCUUCUCCAGUUCCUGAAUAACAAUAUUACCAAAUUUCUAGCAAAAAACAGAAACCAUAAUAACACAUUCAAUCUUCUCAUUUCUGAUGAACAAAUAUGACAAAAAUUAUAGCCAAACACUAAAACACUAAUAACCACUUCAAUUCUUUCUCAGUUUCUUAAAUUACGAAUAUAGAAAAGUUUAGCAAAGAUAAUUAACACUAAUAACACUAUCAAUCUUCUCAUUCCUUGAUAACAAUAUACCAAAAUUUAGCAAAACAAGAACACUAAUAAACCUAAUUCAAUCUCUAAUUCUUUUGUGACAAUAUAAAAAUUUAGCAAAACGAGAACACUAAUAACGACUAUCGAAUCUUCUCAUUUCUUGAUAACAAUUAUACAGAAAUUUAGCAAAACAAGAAAAUACUAGUAAAACUAUUCAAUCUUCUCAUUUCUUGAACCAAUAUACAAAAAUUAUAGCAAAACAGAAACACUAAUAACACUAUCAACUUAUUCCAUCUUAAUAACAAUUAUACAAAAUUUACAAAAAACAGGAGAACAUAUAUAACACAUCAAUCUCUUCUCAUUUCUUGGAUAAAAUGUAGCAAAAUGUUGCAAAUAAGAACACUAUAACUACUAUCAAUCUUCUGAUUUCUUGAUAACAAUAUACCAAAAUUAAAACAAAACAAGACACUAAUAACACGUAUCAAUCUUCUCAUUUCUUGAUAAACAAUAUACAAAAAUUUAGGCAAGGUAAGCAGAACACUAAUAACACAUCAAUCUUCUCAUUUCUUGAUAAGCAAUGAUACAAAAUUUAAGCAAAAACAAGAACACUAAUAACACUAUCAAUCUUUCAUUUCAUAAUUACACUAGACACACUGAACAAUCAAUUCCAAUCUUAGCUACAAAAUUAGCAAAACAAAAUACACUAAUAACACUAUCUAAUCUUUUCAUUUUACGAUAAACAAUAUACAAAAGUUAGCAAAAAACAAGAACACUAAUAACACUAUUUCAAUCUUCCAUUUCUAAUAACAAUAUAGAAAAUUAGCAAACAAUAAUACACUAUACACUAGUCAAUGCUUCUCAUUUCUUGAUAACAAUAUAAAAAUUUAAAAAAAAAAACAAGAACACUAAUAACACUAUCAAUCUGUCUCAUUUCUUAAUAACAACUAUACAAAAUUAUAAAACUAAGAUCAUAAUAACACUAUCUAAUCUCUCAUCUUCUGGAUAACAAUAAUACAGAAAUUUAGCAAAACCAUGAUACACUAAAUAACACUAUCAAUCUUCCUCAUUUGCUUAAUAACAAUUAUACAAAAUUGCUCAGCAAACAAUGAAGACAACUAAUAACACUAUCAAUCUUCUCAUUCUUGAUAAAAUAUACAAACAAUUUUAGCAAGACUAAGAAACACUAAUAACACUUCGAAUCUUCUAUUCCUUGAUAACAUAUUACAAAAUUUAGCAAACGAAGAACACUAUCAACAUAUAUCUUCUCAUUUCUUUGCAUAAACAAUAUACAAAAGUUAGAAAACAAGCCAACACUUAAUAACACUACUCAAGUCUCUGCAUUUACUUGAUAACAAUAUUACCAAAAUUUCAGCCAAAACAAGAACACCUAAUAACACUAUCAAUGCUUCUCAUUUCUUAAUAACAAUAUUACAAAAUUAGACCAAAACCAAGAACACUUAGAUAGAGCACUAUUCAAUACUCUCUCAUUUCUCCUGGAUAACAAUUAUACAAAAAUUUAGCGAACAAGAACACUAUAAUAACACUAUCAAUCUUUCUUUCCCUUCAUAACAAUAUACAAAAAUUUAGCAAAACAAUGAACCAUCAAAUAACACUAUCAAUACUUCUCAUUUGGCUUCAAUAACAAUAUUACACAAAUUGUAACAACAAACAAGCAACAUCUAAGUACACAGGCUAUUCAAUCUUCUCAUUUCUCGUGAUUAAACAAUAUACAAAAAUUUGCAAAGCAAGAACCUAAUAAACUAUCAAUGCUUGUCUUCUUCAAUAGCAAAAUGAUCAAAAUAUUUAGAUAAAAACAAGAAUCACUAUAUAACACUAUCAAUCUAUACUCAUUUCAAUUCUAAAACUACAAAAAUCUUACGUAAAACAAGAAACACGAUCAUUAAUAACACUAUCCAACCUCUCAUUUGAUAACAAUAUAAAAUUGAAAAAACGAAAAUAAAACAUAUAAUUAGUCUGCAUUAUAACAACAUCAAAAUUUGCACAAACAAGAAACUAAACUAACCGAUCAAUCUUCUCAUUUCUUGAUAACAAUAUACAAAAUUUAGAAAAACACGAACACUAAUAACACUAUCAAUCUUCUCAUUCCUUGAUAAACAAUAUACAUAAACUUGCAAAACAAGAACACUAAUAACACUAUCAAUCUUCUCAUUUCUGUAUAAACAAAUACAAAAUUUAGAAAAACAAGAACACUAAUAACACUAUCAAUCUUCUCAUUUCUGAUAACAAUAUACAAAAGUUGCAAAACAGAACACUAAUAACACUAUUCAAUCUUUCUCAUUUCUUAAUACAAUAUAGAAAAUUUAGCGAAAUAAGAAACACUAAUAACACUAUCAAUCUUCUCAUUUCUUGAUAACAAUAUAACAAAAUUUAGCUAAACAAAGAAUUACUAAGUUAAAACUAUCACAUCCUCUCAUUUCUUGAUAACAAUAUACAAAAUAUUAAAGCAAAACAAGGAACACUUAUAACACUAUCAAUCUUCUUCAUUCUUGAUAACAAUAUACAAAAUUUAGAAAAACAAGAACACUAAUAACACUAUCAAUCUUCUCAUUUCUGAUAACUAUAUACAAAAAUUUAGCAAAACAAGAACACUAAUAACACUAUCAUUCUUCUCAUUUCUUAAUAACAAUAUAGAAAAUGUAGCAAAACCAAGAACUAAUAAAACACUAUCAAUCUUCUUCAUUUCUUAAUCAAUAUACAAANNNNNNNNNUACAAACAAUAUACAAAAUUUAGCAAACAAGAACACAAUACACUAUCAAUCUUCAUCUUUUGUACUAAAAUUUAGCAAAAAACAAGAACACUAAUAACACUAUAAUCCAUUCUCUCAUUUACAAUUAUUAACAAUAUACAAAAUUUUAACAGCAAAACAAGACUCUAAUAACAUAUCAAUCUUCCAUUUCUUGAUAAACAAUAUACAAAUUUAGCAAAACAAGAAACAUAAAACACUAUCAAUCUUCUCAAUUUCUGAUAACAAUAUAAAAUUUAGCAAACAAGAACACUAAUAACACUAUCAAUCUUCUCAUUUCUUGAUAACAAUAUACAAAAUUUAGCAAAACAGAACACUAAUAACACUAUCAAUCUUCUCAUUUCUUGAUAACAAUUAUACAAAUUGAGCAAAACAGAACACUAAUAACACUAUCAAAUCUUUUCUCAUUUCUUGAUAACAAUAUACAAAAAUUUAGCCAAACAAGAACACUAAUAAACACUAUCGAAUCUUCGUCAUUUCUGAUAACAAAUACAAAAUUUAGCAAAACAAGAACACUAAUAACACUAUUCAAUCUUCUCAUUUCUUUAAUAACAAUAUACAAAAUUUAAAAGAAACAACACUUUAAUAAACACUAUAUCAAUCUUCUCAUUUCUUGAUAACAAUUACAAAAUUAGCCAAACAAGAACACUAAUAACACUAUCAAUCUUCUCAUUUCGUUGAUAACAAUAUAAAAUUAGCAAAACAAGAACACUAAUAAACACUAUCAAACUUUUCUCAUUCUUUGAUAACAUAUACAAAAAUUUAGAAAACAAGAACACUAAUAACACUAUCAAUGCUUCUCUUUCUGAUAACAAUAUACAAAAAUUUAGCAAAACAAGAACACUAAUAACACUAUCAUCUUCUCAUUUCUUAUAGACAUAUACAAAUUUAGCCGAACUAAACGUACACGAAUCUGCUCAUUCCAUACAAAUAGAAAUACAAAACAAGAACACUAAUAACACUAUCAAUCUUCUUCAUUUCUUGAAUAACAAUAUACAAAAUUUAGCAAAACAAGAACACUAAUACACUAUCAAUCUUCUCUUUUCUAAAACAAUAUAAAAUUUAGCAAACAAGAACACUAAUAACACUAUCAAUCUUCUAUUUUUGAUAACAAUAUACAAAAUUUCAGCAUAAACAAGAAACUAAUAAACUAUCAAUCUCUCUUUCUUUAUAACAAUAACCAAAAUAUAGCAAAACAAUAACACUAAAACACUAUCAAUCUUCUCAUUUCUUGAUAACAAUAUACAAAAUUUAGCAGAAACAAGAACAUAAUAACACUAUCAAUCUUCUCAUUUCUGAAUAAACAAUAUAAAAAAAUUAGCAAAACAAGAACACUAAUAAUACUAUCAAUCUUUCUCAUUUCUUGAUAACAAUAUACAAAAAUUAGCAAACAAGAACACUAAUAACACUAUCAAUCUUCUCAUUUCUUAUAACAAAUAAAAAUUUAGCAAAACAAAACACGUAAUAACACUAUCAAUCUUCUCAUUCUUAAUAACAAUAUACAAAAAUUUAAAAAAACAAGACAUUAAUAAACAUAUCAAUCUCUCAUUUCUUGAUAACAAUAUACAAAAUUUGCAAAACAAGAACACUAAUAACACUAUCAAUCUUCUCAUUUCUUCGAUACAAUAUACAAAUUUAGGCAAAACAAGAACACUAAUAAACACUAUCAAUCUUCUCAUUUCUUGAUUACAAUAUAACAAAAUUUAGCAAAAACAAGAACACUAAUAACACUAUCAAUUUCUCAUUCUUGAUAACAAUAUACAAAAUUUAGCAAAACAAGAAACACUAAUAACCUAUCAAUCUUCUCAUUUCGUUGAUAACAAUAUACAAAAUUUAGCAAAAACAAGAACACUAAUAACACUAUCAAUCUUCUCAGUUUCUUGAUAACAAACAAUAUACAAAAUUUGGCAAAACAAGAACACUAAUAACACUAUCAAUCUUCUCAUUUCUUGAUAACAAUAUACAAAAUUUAGAAAAACAAGAACACUAAUAACACUAUCAAUCUUCUCAUUCCUUCAUAACAAUAUACAAAAUUUAGCAAAACAAGAACACUAAUAACACUAUCAAUCUUCUCAUUUCUUGAUAACAAUAUACAAAAUUUAGAAAAACAAGAACACUAAUAACACUAUCAAUCUUCUCAUUUCUGGAUAACAAUAUACAAAAUUUAGCAAAACAAGAACACUAAUAACACUAUCAAUCUUCUCAUUUCUUAAUAACAAUAUAGAAAAUUUAGCAAAACAAGAACACAAAUAACACUAUCAAUCUUCUCAUUUCUUGAUAACAAUAUAAAAAAUUUAGCUAAACAAGAAUACUAAUAAAACUAUCAAUCCUCUCAUUUCUUGAUAACAAUAUACAAAAUAUAGCAAAACAAUAACACUAAUAACACUAUCAAUAUUCUCAUUUCUUAAUAACAAUAUACAAAAUUUNNN
This 35225-nucleotide long non-coding RNA is filed under the name Lathyrus oleraceus (garden pea). RNAcentral describes it as "Pisum sativum (pea) long non-coding RNA (PSAT_LNC040039)". The record is from RNAcentral. Lineage: Eukaryota; Viridiplantae; Streptophyta; Magnoliopsida; Fabales; Fabaceae.